AGAGUUUGAUCCUGGCUCAGAGCGAACGCUGGCGGCAGGCCUAACACAUGCAAGUCGAACGAACUCUUCGGAGUUAGUGGCGGACGGGUGAGUAACACGUGGGAACGUGCCUUUAGGUUCGGAAUAACUCAGGGAAGCUUGAGCUAAUACCGAAUGUGCCCUUCGGGGGAAAGAUUUAUCGCCUUUAGAGCGGCCCGCGUCUGAUUAGCUAGUUGGUGGGGUAAUGGCCCACCAAGGCUACGAUCAGUAGCUGGUCUGAGAGGAUGACCAGCCACAUUGGGACUGAGACACGGCCCAAACUCCUACGGGAGGCAGCAGUGGGGAAUCUUGCGCAAUGGGCGAAAGCCUGACGCAGCCAUGCCGCGUGUAUGAUGAAGGUCUUAGGAUUGUAAAAUACUUUCACCGGUGAAGAUAAUGACUGUAGCCGGAGAAGAAGCCCCGGCUAACUUCGUGCCAGCAGCCGCGGUAAUACGAAGGGGGCUAGCGUUGCUCGGAAUUACUGGGCGUAAAGGGAGCGUAGGCGGACAUUUAAGUCAGAGGUGAAAUCCCGGAGCUUAACUUCGGAACUGCCUUUGAUACUGGGUGUCUUGAGUGUGAGAGAGGUAUGUGGAACUCCGAGUGUAGAGGUGAAAUUCGUAGAUAUUCGGAAGAACACCAGUGGCGAAGGCGACAUACUGGCUCAUUACUGACGCUGAGGCUCGAAAGCGUGGGGAGCAAACAGGAUUAGAUACCCUGGUAGUCG
RNAcentral lists this ribosomal RNA (742 nucleotides) under uncultured bacterium. RNAcentral's name for it is "bacterial SSU rRNA". It matches the Rfam family "Bacterial small subunit ribosomal RNA", at positions 8 to 796 of the family's 1533-position model. The record is from RNAcentral.